Long non-coding RNA from Neofelis nebulosa (Clouded leopard), 1625 nucleotides. RefSeq lists it as uncharacterized. Lineage: Eukaryota; Metazoa; Chordata; Mammalia; Carnivora; Felidae. The transcript has 3 exons. The record is from RefSeq and is a predicted model, not a curated record.
UUCUGGGGUCACUGGCAAAGUUUUAUUUCUUGACCUGGGUGUUGGUUAUGAGGGCGUUUGCCCCUGAAAUAAUCACCAAGCUACAAAUUUAAUUUGUAUGAUUUUCCACAUCUGUGAUUUGUUUCAUAACAUAAGGUUUUUAAAAGAUGAAAACAGAACUACCUACCUCACUGUGUGUGUGUGUGUGUGUGUGUGUGUGUCCGUAUACACAUGUUUGAAUAUAUGGAUAUGGCCUGGUACAUAGUAGGUACUCAAUGAAUAUGAGUUCUCUUCCCUGUUAAUCCUGUCAAACAGCCUUACUGGUGUGAUUUCAGCACCAUUAUCAACAUGUCUGACUCAUCAAAAGUAGUUAAUGCUUAUUAAGUGAUUAUUACAUUCCAGGCACUGUUCCCAGUACAUCUCAUCUAACUGCAUCCUCGUAACCCUAUCAUUUUUAUUCCCAUUUUACAGAGAAGAAAUGGAGACUCAGAGAAGUCACCUGUGGUCAUGCAGAAGGUGGUGCAGCAGCCUCGUUUUGAACCCAGGAACUCUGCCUCCAUAGUCCAUGCUCCCCCCCCCCCCCCCCGCCUCCGCCACCACCAACCCCGCAUAUAUAACGUACUGGUCCAGCGUCCCUGUUUGCCCGAAUAACUUCCCCCAUCAAGUGCCUGCCAGUGUGUGCCACCCCCUGACACUCAUUACCUGAAUCUCACAACAACCCUGGCAGACAAAGAUGCUCAUCUGAUGGAUCUGACCCAGUCUGAGGUCAUGGGUUGCCCAACCAGCCGUCCAGAGCCUGACUUGGCUUGAGAAGUGUCCAGACCAGGGCUGGGAGAAGUCAAGGGCUUGGCAAGCACCAGACAUGCCUGACCCCAACCACGAGGUCAUGCGAAGCUUGUGACCCAUAGGCCUGGCAUGCCUCAAGGAGACAGAGACUUCUGUUACUCUGUGUGCAAGGCUUUUUGCUCACAAAUCUUGGAAUCAGGGCCCAGAAUAGGGCUGGCCACCUCUCUGAGCUUGAGAUAAAGACAUGUGUGCAGGUGGCUGUGCAGAUUUCCCACAAGAGGUCGGGUUUGUUCAACAUGCUGCUUACAGCAAGGUGGACAGUUCUCCAAAACAAGCCUGGAAGUGAAUGUUCCAGAACGCUCUGGAGUUUGGUUCAUUAGAAGUGUGUGGGUGCCUCUGGGAACCUCUGAAGCCCUUCCUUUAUGGGGCCAUCACCCCCAUCCUCCUAGAUGCUUCAGUUGUUGGUGUCUAAUGGCUUGCUUUGUCUCCUCCUGAACACUAUGACCUCAGAAGUCACCUCACCCAAGAGGUCACCCUCGUCACCCACAGAGUGGUUCACAGCCAACGGACAGACGUCCAGACGUACAACAGGCCAGCCCCCUCACAGGACUUUAUGUGAGAGCACGACUUUGCUCGGUUCCUUCCUAUCCUGAGUUCCUCCUUCUCUUACAGUUUCCCCCGUUAAUAAAUCACAUGUACUUGGGGUGUCUGAGUGGCUCAGUCAGUUAAGUGUCCGACUUAGCUCAGGUCAUGAUCUUGCUGCUUGUGAGCUGUGCCAACAGCUCAGAGCCUAGAGCCUGCUUCAGAUUCCGUGUCUCCUUCUUUCUCUGCCCCUCCCCUGCUCAUGCUCUGUCUCUCUC